RNAcentral lists this long non-coding RNA (1173 nucleotides) under Dromaius novaehollandiae (emu). RNAcentral describes it as "lncRNA (ENSDNVG00000015345.1)". Lineage: Eukaryota; Metazoa; Chordata; Aves; Casuariiformes; Dromaiidae. The record is from RNAcentral.
GAUAUAAAGAUUGACAGACAAGACAAGCCUUAAAAGACACAAUUUUUUAUGUUUAUUUUUUCACAAAAAAGCUUUACAAGAAGAAACAGGUUUUACAUUCUUUAAUCACCAUUCAUUUGUACAAUUGAUAUCCAAGGCUGCAUAUUCUCCUACAGUGUAUUUCUUCUCAUAAUAUUACAGGACAUUUACCUUUUCUUUAAAAGGACUAUAAUCAUUGCAUGUUGUUARGAAUUCUAUUAGGUAACACUACAUGUGAACAAUUUACACAGUCUGUAUCAGCUGUAGAUGAAGUGUCUUCAGUUUAAUUCUUUGCAUGUUUUGUAGCAGCAAAUAUAAAAUGUCUUUUAAAUAUUCAGAUUUUUAAAAGGCUUUGCAUCACAUGUAAUGGAAAAACAGAGGUUUAGUAUCUCAAACAGCAACAAAAAUAUUCCAGUGUCCACAAUGCAACACUUAAAUUCUCAAGAAAGGAAAACAAAAGAAAGUCCCCCCUCUUUCCCCAUAAACAACAUGGAGACAUUUAUUAAGGUGUUCAGUGCUCAAAUGUGACUUUCUUCACCAGUGGUAAACUGCUGYGAUUUUUAGACAUCUCAACAUCAGAACUAAAUAAAGUUACAUGGUUUUACAUAGUGAGAGAACCCGACCCUUCAUAGCUGCCUGUAUGCACAACCCUCUGCCAUUUACAGCAUCUUUGCUGUUCUGCAGAACAGGAAAACACACAGAACUAAAACCAAUCUCUCACCCCCGAAAUACCAAGGUAACAUAAUCCUCACCCUUUUAGAUCAAUGGAAGUUUUGCCCUUCAUUUCACUCAAAUCAGAAUUUCAGCAAGAUGUUUGCAAUCUCCCUGCCAUUGUGUUUUGAAGUGUGCGUAAUACAUAACAACAGUCUCAGAAGCAGGUUCACAGACUGAGAAAAAAUGUUUUACGAAAAAGUACUUCAUAAGAAGAACAGAUUGAACAUAAAGCACUUUUCUUUCUACUUCAUUCAAAAAUGUAAUGGAGAGGGAAAACCCUUCACAGUUUCUGAAUUAAUAAAGAAUUUUAAAAAUUGCAAAUUUACAAACCAUGAAGGUCAAAUACUGUAUUUCAAACAAUACUCCAGCAGUUCUGUAAAGAUAUGCAUUCAAAUAUUCUCAAGUAAGGCACUGAUGAUUUCACCCACAGUUUCACAAUGA